GAUGAACGCUGGCGGCGUGCUUAACACAUGCAAGUCGAACGGAAAGGCCCAAGCUUGCUUGGGUACUCGAGUGGCGAACGGGUGAGUAACACGUGGGUGAUCUGCCCUGCACUUCGGGAUAAGCCUGGGAAACUGGGUCUAAUACCGGAUAGGACCACUUCUUGGAUGUUGUGGUGGAAAGUUUUUCGGUGUGGGAUGAGCUCGCGGCCUAUCAGCUUGUUGGUGGGGUAAUGGCCUACCAAGGCGUCGACGGGUAGCCGGCCUGAGAGGGUGUACGGCCACAUUGGGACUGAGAUAGGGAGCAGACUGCUACGAGAGGCAGAAGAGGGGAAUAUUGCACAAUGGGCGCAAGCGUGAUGGAGAGAAGCCGCGUGGGGGAGGACGGCCUUCGGGUUGUAAACUACUUUCGCUAGGGACGAAGCUUAUUUUGUGACGGUAACUGGAGAAGAAGCACCGGCUAACGACGGGC
This 469-nucleotide ribosomal RNA is filed under the name uncultured bacterium. RNAcentral describes it as "partial 16S ribosomal RNA". It matches the Rfam family "Bacterial small subunit ribosomal RNA", at positions 28 to 508 of the family's 1533-position model. The record is from RNAcentral.